RNAcentral lists this ribosomal RNA (807 nucleotides) under marine metagenome. RNAcentral describes it as "bacterial SSU rRNA". It matches the Rfam family "Bacterial small subunit ribosomal RNA", at positions 8 to 840 of the family's 1533-position model. The record is from RNAcentral.
AGAGUUUGAUUAUGGCUCAGAACGAACGCUGGCGGCAUGCUUAAUACAUGCAAGUCGAACGAAGUCUUCGGACUUAGUGGCGCACGGGUGAGUAACAUGUGGGAAUCUACCUAGAGGUUCGGAAUAACUACGGGAAACUGUAGCUAAUACCGGAUGUGUCUGCAAAGAGAAAGAUUUAUCGCCUUUAGAUGAGCCCGCACUAGAUUAGUUUGUUGGUGAGGUAAAGGCUCACCAAGGCGACGAUGGGUAGCCGGCCUGAGAGGGUGAUCGGCCACACUGGGACUGAGACACUGCCCAGACUCCUACGGGAGGCUGCAGUCGAGAAUCAUCCGCAAUGGACGAAAGUCUGACGGUGCGACGCCGCGUGAAGGAAGAAGGCCUUCGGGUUGUAAACUUCUGUCACGGGUUAAGAAAUCCGUAUGGGUAACGCCAUACGGUUGACGAAACCGAAAGGAAGCCAUGGCUAACUCCGUGCCAGCAGCCGCGGUAAUACGGAGACCUCGAGCGUUACUCGGAUUCACUGGGCGUAAAGGGUGCGUAGGCGGUCAUGUGUGUCAGGUGUGAAAUCCCGGGGCUCAACCCCGGAACUGCGCUUGAAACUACGCGACUUGAGUCUCGGAGAGGGUAGUGGAAUUUCGGGUGUAGCGGUGAAAUGCGUAGAUAUCCGAAGGAACACCAGUGGCGAAGGCGACUACCUGGACGAGAACUGACGCUGAGGCACGAAAGCGUGGGUAGCGAAAGGGAUUAGAUACCCCUGUAGUCCACGCCGUAAACGUUGCGCACUAGGUCUUGGGGGGUCUACCCCCU